Molecule: ribosomal RNA, 466 nt
Filed under: uncultured Alphaproteobacteria bacterium
Lineage: Bacteria; Pseudomonadati; Pseudomonadota; Alphaproteobacteria
Description: bacterial SSU rRNA
Rfam family: Bacterial small subunit ribosomal RNA
Source: RNAcentral
GAGUUUGAUCGUGGCUCAGAACGAACGCUGGCGGCAUGCCUAACACAUGCAAGUCGAACGAGACCUUCGGGUCUAGUGGCGCACGGGUGCGUAACGCGUGGGAAUCUGCCCAAAGGUUCGGAAUAACUCAGGGAAACUUGAGCUAAUACCGAAUAAUGUCUUCGGACCAAAGAUUUAUUGCCUUUGGAUGAGCCCGCGUCGGAUUAGCUAGUUGGUGAGGUAAAGGCUCACCAAGGCGACGAUCCGUAGCUGGUCUGAGAGGAUGAUCAGCCACACUGGGACUGAGACACGGCCCAGACUCCUACGGGAGGCAGCAGUGGGGAAUAUUGGACAAUGGGCGAAAGCCUGAUCCAGCAAUGCCGCGUGAGUGAUGAAGGCCUUAGGGUUGUAAAGCUCUUUUACCCGGGAUGAUAAUGACAGUACCGGGAGAAUAAGCUCCGGCUAACUCCGUGCCAGCAGCCGCCGU